This 513-nucleotide ribosomal RNA is filed under the name uncultured bacterium. RNAcentral describes it as "partial 16S ribosomal RNA". It matches the Rfam family "Bacterial small subunit ribosomal RNA", at positions 355 to 883 of the family's 1533-position model. The record is from RNAcentral.
UAGGGGAUAUUGGUAAUGUGCGAAAGCGCGAACCAGCAACGCCGCGUGCACGAUGAAGGCCUUCGGGUCGUAAAGUGCUUUUAGAGAGGAUGAGGAAGGACAGUACUUUCUGAGUAAGCCUCGGCUAACUACGUGCCAGCAGCCGCGGUAAAACGUAGGAGGCAAGCGUUAUCCGGAUUUACUGGGCGUAAAGCGCAUGCAGGUGGUUUUGUAAGUUGGAUGUGAAAGCUCCUGGCUUAACUGGGAGAGGUCGUUCAAAACUACAAGACUUGAGAUUGGUAGAGGAAAAUGGAAUUCCGGGUGUAGUGGUGAAAUGCGUAGAUAUCCGGAGGAACACCAGUGGCGAAAGCGGUUUUCUGGACCAAUUCUGACACUCAGAUGCGAAAGCUAAGGUAGCAAACGGGAUUAGAGACCCCGGUAGUCUUAGCUGUAAACGAUGUGAACUUGGCGUCGGUGGGUUUAAAUCCAUCGGUGCCGAAGCUAACGCGAUAAGUUCACCGCCUGGGGGACUAC